Non-coding RNA from Physcomitrium patens, 1306 nucleotides. The record is from RefSeq and is a predicted model, not a curated record. Lineage: Eukaryota; Viridiplantae; Streptophyta; Bryopsida; Funariales; Funariaceae.
UUUUUCAAUAUACUUUUUUCAUUUAAUUUCAAAGUGCUCGUCCUUGCAAAACAUUACACAAAACGUAACGUCAUACUUAAAAAAACAAAUUCAUCAUCAUUAGCAACAUGUAAAACCCCAAUGAAACUCUACAGUUGUUGUAGAAAAAGUUGAAUCUUUAGUUCUUAGUAAAAUGCUCCCCAAGGCUUAAACUGCAAUAUAUUUCCAAUGUAACCAUAGUUCAAAAGAUCAGAGCAAACUAAUCUCACUGAUUCCACACAACAACAAUAAAUAAUAAAACAAUGUUGAAGUCCGACAGACUGGUAUACAGUUAUACAUGAGAUGGGCGUGAUUAGUUUUUGCAUUAGUAACAGAGGGGCAUUGAAUUGAAUGGGAGGUUGCGUUGCGACUUAGAGCGCGACAGGGGGCGAGACCGACGAUCGAGGCACGCAGGCGCGCAGACAGAGAGCAAGCGGAAUUCUCAUCUCAUCGCACCACCACGCGAGCGGAAUCUGCAGGCGCCACUCGCUUUCUAUGCAAAUCACAACCAGAGUCUGCACCCUUUUCGCCUCUGGCACUGGAAGGUCCACUGCAAAACGCAUUCUUACGAGCAAUCCCAUGUCAGCAAUCAGAAAGAGGGAGACUCACAGAGAGAGAGGAGGAAAAGAGAAAGAAAGCGAGUACGGCGCAAUAUAAGGUUCAAAGAUUGUGCUAGCCGCGGCGAUAUGCGCAGUGACUUAAGAUGUCAGGGCGAAGCUGCGGGGGUGCAGACCCCAGCUGGGCACAGCCGUGGCUGUCAGCGCACGAAUUCGGCAAGUUUGUAAUGGGUGUGUGCGUACGAGCUGUGGAUUUGGAGGAGGCUUAUCUGAAUUAGUGUCCAUGGUUGUUAGAAGGAGGGCUGACGGCUGAUUUCAUGAGAUUCCGGACACUGCAGCUUCAUAAUCCGGGCAGGACACGAGCUGUGGUGAGUUUGCACCGUUUUGAAGUAGACCUGGUCUACCUGAGCGCCCUUGUGUCGUAUACAACCGAUUGUGAGCGCGAUCAAUGAUAAAAUUGCGAAGGAAUAGUACCACAGUACCGUCCCAGGCUACGAUGUCGACUUCGGGUGGCGACAUACUGUAAUUACUUGCGUCUGGCAAAUUCAUGCACUCAACAUUGUGCCGAUGCUCGUCAUGAACAUUAUUUUACUUGUGAGAAAUAACCAUAUAUGAUUAGAUGUCAGCUACUGAGAAAAAAAUCAUGUGCCCUGUUCGUCCAUGAGGACGUGAUAUAAUUCUUCAGAAAUGUGAGAAAAUUGUCUGUGAGUUGGGUUGCCAUCUCUUCAUUA